CUGAUCUGGCUGGCUCAGGACCUGACUCAGCCCUCCUGAAGGUUCUUGUGGCUCUGAGGGAGUUCUCAAAGGUGACUGCUGAGCCGCUUGGAGAGGAUGGGGCCAAAACCUCAAGGAAAAGCUUCUCGAACAAAGGAAGAAAGACAACAGGAGAGAAUGAAGUUGCUGCGAUACACAUCAGAUCCUCCCGUCCUUCAUCCUCUUCCCAUGCAAGGAAUCUGGCCACCCAAGCAAGCCACUGAGGAGGGACAAGACUUUGCAGUAAUGAAGAGCGCCCAGCACGGGAGGCACAUUUGUGCUCCAUUUGGAAUGCGUCUCUCUUGGCACCGGAAGAAAGGGUGACCCCA
Non-coding RNA from Odocoileus virginianus texanus, 347 nucleotides. The record is from RefSeq and is a predicted model, not a curated record. NCBI's taxonomy places the organism in Eukaryota, Metazoa, Chordata, Mammalia, Artiodactyla, Cervidae.